GCGGUCAUAGUAUAGCCUGGUCAGUAUGUUGGCCUUCCAAGCCAAUCACCCGGGUUCAAAUCCCGGUGACCGCA
This 74-nucleotide transfer RNA is filed under the name Nitrososphaerota archaeon. Its description in RNAcentral is "Thaumarchaeota archaeon (sponge metagenome) tRNA-Gly". It matches the Rfam family "tRNA". Rfam says of the family: Transfer RNA (tRNA) molecules are approximately 80 nucleotides in length. Their secondary structure includes four short double-helical elements and three loops (D, anti-codon, and T loops). Further hydrogen bonds mediate the characteristic L-shaped molecular structure. tRNAs have two regions of fundamental functional importance: the anti-codon, which is responsible for specific mRNA codon recognition, and the 3' end, to which the tRNAs corresponding amino acid is attached (by aminoacyl-tRNA synthetases). tRNAs cope with the degeneracy of the genetic code in two manners: having more than one tRNA (with a specific anti-codon) for a particular amino acid; and 'wobble' base-pairing, i.e. permitting non-standard base-pairing at the 3rd anti-codon position. Lineage: Archaea; Thermoproteati; Nitrososphaerota. RNAcentral also lists the same sequence under 1 other name. The record is from RNAcentral.